This 459-nucleotide ribosomal RNA is filed under the name uncultured bacterium. Its description in RNAcentral is "partial 16S ribosomal RNA". It matches the Rfam family "Bacterial small subunit ribosomal RNA", at positions 338 to 795 of the family's 1533-position model. The record is from RNAcentral.
CCUACGGGAGGCAGCAGUGAGGAAUAUUGGUCAAUGGACGAGAGUCUGAACCAGCCAAGUAGCGUGAAGGAUGACUGCCCUAUGGGUUGUAAACUUCUUUUAUAUGGGAAUAAAAUGUUCCACGUGUGGGAUUUUGUAUGUACCAUAUGAAUAAGGAUCGGCUAACUCCGUGCCAGCAGCCGCGGUAAUACGGAGGAUCCGAGCGUUAUCCGGAUUUAUUGGGUUUAAAGGGAGCGUAGGUGGAUUGUUAAGUCAGUUGUGAAAGUUUGCGGCUCAACCGUAAAAUUGCAGUUGAAACUGGCAGUCGUGAGUACAGUAGAGGUGGGCGGAAUUCGUGGUGUAGCGGUGAAAUUCUUAGAUAUCACGAAGAACUCCGAUUGCGAAGGCAGCUCACUGGACUGCAACUGACACUGAGGCUCGAAAGUGUGGGUAUCAAACAGGAUUAGUACCCCAGUAGUC